RNAcentral lists this ribosomal RNA (122 nucleotides) under uncultured eukaryote. RNAcentral's name for it is "partial 18S ribosomal RNA". It matches the Rfam family "Eukaryotic small subunit ribosomal RNA", at positions 1299 to 1458 of the family's 1831-position model. The record is from RNAcentral.
UGGUGGAGUGAUCUGUCUGGUUAAUUCCGUUAACGAACGAGAUCUUAUCCUACUAAAUAGACAAUUGUACAAUUUUCUUCUACACUUGAUCGUUUAGAUCGAGGAAGUUUGAGGUAAUAACA